GACGAACGCUGGCGGCGUGCUUAACACAUGCAAGUCGAACGGAAAGGCCCUGCUUUUGUGGGGUGCUCGAGUGGCGAACGGGUGAGUAACACGUGAGUAACCUGCCCUUGACUUUGGGAUAACUUCAGGAAACUGGGGCUAAUACCGGAUAGGAGCUCCUGCUGCAUGGUGGGGGUUGGAAAGUUUCGGCGGUUUGGGAUGGACUCGCGGCUUAUCAGCUUGUUGGUGGGGUAGUGGCUUACCAAGGCUUUGACGGGUAGCCGGCCUGGGAGGGUGACCGGCCACAUUGGGACUGAGAUACGGCCCAGACUCCUACGGGAGGCAGAAGUGGGGAAUAUUGCACAAUGGGCGGAAGCCUGAUGCAGCAACGCCGCGUGCGGGAUGACGGCCUUCGGGUUGUAAACCGCUUUCGCCUGUGACGAAGCGUGAGUGACGGUAAUGGGUAAAGAAGCACCGGCUAACUACGUG
This 468-nucleotide ribosomal RNA is filed under the name uncultured bacterium. Its description in RNAcentral is "partial 16S ribosomal RNA". It matches the Rfam family "Bacterial small subunit ribosomal RNA", at positions 28 to 507 of the family's 1533-position model. The record is from RNAcentral.